AGCCGACCUUGAAAUACCACCCUUUAAUGUUUGAUGUUCUAACGUGGACCCGUGAUCCGGGUUGCGGACAGUGUCUGGUGGGUAGUUUGACUGGGGCGGUCUCCUCCUAAAGAGUAACGGAGGAGCACGAAGGUUGGCUAAUCCUGGUCGGACAUCAGGAGGUUAGUGCAAUGGCAUAAGCCAGCUUGACUGCGAGCGUGACGGCGCGAGCAGGUGCGAAAGCAGGUCAUAGUGAUCCGGUGGUUCUGAAUGGAAGGGCCAUCGCUCAACGGAUAAAAGGUACUCCGGGGAUAACAGGCUGAUACCGCCCAAGAGUUCAUAUCGACGGCGGUGUUUGGCACCUCGAUGUCGGCUCAUCACAUCCUGGGGCUGAAGUAGGUCCCAAGGGUAUGGCUGUUCGCCAUUUAAAGUGGUACGCGAGCUGGGUUUAGAACGUCGUGAGACAGUUCGGUCCCUAUCUGCCGUGGGCGCUGGAGAACUGAGGGGGGCUGCUCCUAGUACGAGAGGACCGGAGUGGACGCAUCACUGGUGUUCGGGUUGUCAUGCCAAUGGCACU
RNAcentral lists this ribosomal RNA (556 nucleotides) under Salmonella enterica subsp. enterica serovar Anatum. Its description in RNAcentral is "partial 23S ribosomal RNA". It matches the Rfam family "Bacterial large subunit ribosomal RNA", at positions 2184 to 2739 of the family's 2925-position model. The record is from RNAcentral. Lineage: Bacteria; Pseudomonadati; Pseudomonadota; Gammaproteobacteria; Enterobacterales; Enterobacteriaceae.